GGUUAAGACUAAAAAGUCGGAGCCGUAGCGAAAGCGAGUCUGAAAUGGGCGUUUUGAGUACGAGGUUAUAGACCCGAAACCAGGUGACCUAUCCAUGUCCAGGUUGAAGGUGCGGUAAAACGCACUGGAGGACCGAACCCGUGUAAGUUGAAAAUUGCUGGGAUGAGGUGUGGAUAGCGGUGAAAUUCCAAACGAACUUGGAGAUAGCUGGUUCUCUCCGAAAUAGCUUUAGGGCUAGCCUCGGAAUUAGGAUCAUGGAGGUAGAGCACUAUUUGGACUAGGGGCCCGUCUUGGGUUACUGAAUUCAGAUAAACUCCGAAUGCCAUUGAUUCAUAUCCGGGAGUCAGACGAUGAGUGAUAAGAUCCACCGUCGAAAGGGGAACAGCCCAGACCAUCAGUUAAGGUCCCUAAAUGUAUGCUAAGUGGAAAAGGAUGUGGAGUUGCAUAGACAACUAGGAUGUUGGCUCAGAAGCAGCCACCAUUUAAAGAGUGCGUAAUAGCUCACUAGUCGAGUGAUCCUGCGCCGAAAAUGUACCGGGGCUAAGCAUACUACCGAAACCAUGGAUGCGACCAUUAGGUCGCGUGAUAGGAGAGCGUUCUAAGGGCGGUGAAGCAAGAUCGUGAGGACUUGUGGAGCGCUUAGAAGUGAGAAUGCCGGUAUGAGUAGCGAAAGAUAGGUGAGAAUCCUAUCCACCGAAUGACUAAGGUUUCCUGGGGAAGGCUCGUCCUCCCAGGGUUAGUCGGGACCUAAGUCGAGGCCGAGAGGCGUAGACGAUGGAUAACAGGUUGAGAUUCCUGUACUAGUUAAGUGCGUUUGAGCAAUGGAGGGACGCAGGAGGCUAAGAUGUGCAUUCUGUUGGAUUAGAAUGUCCAAGCAGUAAGUCUUGUGAAGAGUCAAAUGCUUUUCACUUUAAGGACAAGCUGUGAUGGGGAGCGAAAUUUAGUAGCGAAGCGUCUGAUGUCACACUGCCGAGAAAAGCUUCUAGUGAGUACUUAACUACCCGUACCGCAAACCGACACAGGUAGUCGAGGAGAGAAUCCUAAGGUGAGCGAGUGAACUCUCGUUAAGGAACUCGGCAAAAUGACCCCGUAACUUCGGGAGAAGGGGUGCUGAUCGCAAGAUCAGCCGCAGUGAAUAGGCCCAGGCGACUGUUUAUCAAAAACACAGGUCUCUGCAAAAUCGUAAGAUGACGUAUAGGGGCUGACGCCUGCCCGGUGCUGGAAGGUUAAAAGGAUGGGUUAGCUUCGGCGAAGCUCAGAAUUGAAGCCCCAGUAAACGGCGGCCGUAACUAUAACGGUCCUAAGG
Molecule: ribosomal RNA, 1306 nt
Filed under: Enterobacter hormaechei
Lineage: Bacteria; Pseudomonadati; Pseudomonadota; Gammaproteobacteria; Enterobacterales; Enterobacteriaceae
Description: partial 23S ribosomal RNA
Rfam family: Bacterial large subunit ribosomal RNA
Source: RNAcentral